GCCAGGCAGGGUGGUGUGUGCCUGUAAUCCCAGUGGCUCAGGAGGCUGAGGCAGGAGGAUCUCCGAGUUCAAAGCCAAUGUCAGCAACUUAGUGAGGCCCUAAGCAACUCAGUGAGACCCUGUCUCUA
Molecule: small RNA, 128 nt
Filed under: Marmota monax (woodchuck)
Lineage: Eukaryota; Metazoa; Chordata; Mammalia; Rodentia; Sciuridae
Source: RNAcentral